UUCUACACCUGCCUUCUACUUAGGGCUUCAUGCUUCAUAUUCAGUUGAUAUCAUCAGAGAAAACCACUCCUCUAUCAAUACCUCAUUUUGGUGUUUUUAAUAUUUUUCUUUUGUUAAUUUGUACAGUAAUCGUUCCACGAAAUUCCUCAAUGAAAGUAACUAUACAAGUAUUUCGCAAAAGAGUUGGGCUUCAAAGAAUUAUCAAAGCUAAGUUAAAGAGGUUGGUUACGGCCUCAGUUAUUGUGACCAUGUGCUUAUGUCUCAAUGGUGUAUGAUAGUGUUUACAAAGGGAUUGUACUAGCCAGCUUGAUGAAUUGGCCACCAAGACUUAUGCUGCCAUGAUUACUGCGCACCCUGACUAUGCAUGUAUACUUCAAAUGGCCAGGCUCAGUACGUUUAAAAUUUGACUAAUCUGAAGGUAAUAUCAUGAUCUGAGACAUGUACUUGUGGAGGACCUAUUAUUCACAUCCUCGUUAUCGAGAGGCGUAGUGGUGAGCUGCCUUUCUGAGCCGUCCUCCAGUUACCAAUGCCUCUCUUUGUAUUUUACAUUUCUGUCUAUUUCAUUUUAGAUAAUAUUUGGAGUUUUGUAUAAUCUACUAGAUGCUCAUACA
Nicotiana tabacum (common tobacco) is the source of this 611-nucleotide non-coding RNA. Lineage: Eukaryota; Viridiplantae; Streptophyta; Magnoliopsida; Solanales; Solanaceae. The record is from RefSeq and is a predicted model, not a curated record.